RNAcentral lists this transfer RNA (76 nucleotides) under Rickettsiales bacterium. Its description in RNAcentral is "tRNA-Thr". It matches the Rfam family "tRNA". From Rfam's summary of the family: Transfer RNA (tRNA) molecules are approximately 80 nucleotides in length. Their secondary structure includes four short double-helical elements and three loops (D, anti-codon, and T loops). Further hydrogen bonds mediate the characteristic L-shaped molecular structure. tRNAs have two regions of fundamental functional importance: the anti-codon, which is responsible for specific mRNA codon recognition, and the 3' end, to which the tRNAs corresponding amino acid is attached (by aminoacyl-tRNA synthetases). tRNAs cope with the degeneracy of the genetic code in two manners: having more than one tRNA (with a specific anti-codon) for a particular amino acid; and 'wobble' base-pairing, i.e. permitting non-standard base-pairing at the 3rd anti-codon position. Lineage: Bacteria; Pseudomonadati; Pseudomonadota; Alphaproteobacteria; Rickettsiales. The record is from RNAcentral.
GCCGGUCUAGCUCAGUUGGUAGAGCAACGGUUUUGUAAACCGUGGGUCGGGGGUUCGAGUCCCUCGACCGGCACCA